This 253-nucleotide ribosomal RNA is filed under the name uncultured bacterium. RNAcentral describes it as "partial 16S ribosomal RNA". It matches the Rfam family "Bacterial small subunit ribosomal RNA", at positions 524 to 776 of the family's 1533-position model. The record is from RNAcentral.
UACGGAGGGUGCAAGCGUUGCUCGGAAUUACUGGGCGUAAAGGGCGCGUAGGCGGCCUUCUAAGUCGGACGUGAAAUCCCUCGGCUUAACCGAGGAACUGCGUCCGAUACUGAAAGGCUUGAAUCCGGGAGAGGGAUGUGGAAUUCCAGGUGUAGCGGUGAAAUGCGUAGAUAUCUGGAGGAACACCGGUGGCGAAGGCGGCAUCCUGGACCGGCAUUGACGCUGAGGCGCGAAAGCUAGGGGAGCAAACGGG